AGAGUUUGAUCCUGGCUCAGAACGAACGCUGGCGGCAGGCUUAACACAUGCAAGUCGAACGCUCGUAGCAAUACGGGAGUGGCAGACGGGUGAGUAACGCGUGGGAACAUACCCUCCGGUUCGGAAUAGCUCAGGGAAACUUGGAUUAAUACCGGAUACGGCUGAGAGGCGAAAGAUUUAUCGCUGGAGGAUUGGCCCGCGUUCGAUUAGCUUGUUGGUGAGGUAACGGCUCACCAAGGCGAUGAUCGAUAGCUGGUCUGAGAGGAUGAUCAGCCACAUUGGGACUGAGACACGGCCCAAACUCCUACGGGAGGCAGCAGUGGGGAAUAUUGGACAAUGGGCGCAAGCCUGAUCCAGCCAUGCCGCGUGAGUGAUGACGGCCUUAGGGUUGUAAAGCUCUUUCGCUCGGGACGAUAAUGACGGUACCGAGAUAAGAAGCCCCGGCUAACUUCGUGCCAGCAGCCGCGGUAAUACGAAGGGGGCUAGCGUUGUUCGGAAUUACUGGGCGUAAAGCGCGUGUAGGCGGGUCUUUAAGUCAGGGGUGAAAUGCCAAGGCUCAACCUUGGAACUGCCUUUGAUACUGGAGAUCUUGAGUCCGGGAGAGGUGAGUGGAAUUGCGAGUGUAGAGGUGAAAUUCGUAGAUAUUCGCAAGAACACCAGUGGCGAAGGCGGCUCACUGGCCCGGAACUGACGCUGAGACGCGAAAGCGUGGGGAGCAAACAGGAUUAGAUACCCCCGUAGUCC
Molecule: ribosomal RNA, 744 nt
Filed under: uncultured bacterium
Lineage: Bacteria
Description: bacterial SSU rRNA
Rfam family: Bacterial small subunit ribosomal RNA
Source: RNAcentral